Molecule: ribosomal RNA, 433 nt
Filed under: uncultured bacterium
Lineage: Bacteria
Description: partial 16S ribosomal RNA
Rfam family: Bacterial small subunit ribosomal RNA
Source: RNAcentral
AACGAACGCUGGCGGCAGGCCUAACACAUGCAAGUCGAGCGAGGGCUUCGGUUCUAGCGGCUGUCGCGUGAGUCACGCGUCGGACUGUUCCCUACUCCACGGAAUAGCACUGGGACACUGGGAGUAAUACCGUAUACGCUCUUUUAGGACAAGAUUCAUCCUACAAGGAUCAGCCCGCGUUGGAUUAGGUAGUUGGUGGGGUAAUGGCCUACCAAGCGGACGCUCCAUAGCUGGGUAGAGAGGAUGGUCAGCCACACUGGGACUGAGAUACGGCCCAGACUCCUACGGGAGGCAGCAGUGGGGAAUCUUAGACAAUGGGGGCAACGCUGAUCGAGCCAUGCUGCGUGAGUGAUGAAGGCCUUAGGGUUGUAAAGCUCUUUCAGCUGGGAAGAUAAUGACGGUACCAGCAGAAGAAGCCCCGGCUAACUCCGUG